This 71-nucleotide transfer RNA is filed under the name Ficus variegata (in: gastropods). Its description in RNAcentral is "Ficus variegata Roding, 1798 tRNA-Trp". Lineage: Eukaryota; Metazoa; Mollusca; Gastropoda; Littorinimorpha; Ficidae. The record is from RNAcentral.
GUAAGGUUUUAAGUUAAUUAAACUAUAAGCCUUCAAAGCUUAAUAUAAAAAAAUAUUUUUAAACCUUGCUC